CGGCUGCGCGGGGCGCGAGGCGCGGGGCCGCCAUGAGGUAGGCAGGAGCCCCCUGUAGCCGAGUGAGGCAGCAUGGCAACCUGUGCAGAGGCUGCAUGCAGCGAUGUGAUGGGAGCUCAAGGAGGACGGCAAUUUUGAACGGGGAGAUGUAGAGCUCUGGCUGGGAUCUUGGGAUUUGCUCGGGGUGUUGCUGGAGCCAGCUAUGAAGGUGGAGGCAGUAGCCACGCUGGGCAGGAGGAGGACCCCAGGGAUGACAGUUCAGCACAGCAAAGCAGGGUAUCUGGUAUCUGCAUGGAUGGAAACCCCUGCCAGUGAGAUCUGCAGCCAAGCUUGUUGCUCCAAGGUGUGCUGAGGAAGUUGGAAAGAGGCACAGACUCAAGUGCUGAGGGGGGAAGAGUUGAUACCACAGCCUGAUCAAGGCAGGAGAUAAAGGAGGUGAGGUCAGACUUCUUCAGUAAAGGAUGGGACAUUUGCGGAAUGGAUGGUGUCGUCGUAAAAUUUCAUCUCAUUCUGGAAAGGCUCAAGAGAAGGUCAGCCUGCCAACCUGCUCCCUCUGCAGCCAGGAUAGCCCUCCUCAACUGCAAAAGCCAAGGCAAGCUGAUCCCUGCCCUCCUGCAAGAUGCCUUCUGUGCCUCUUGAAAAUGCUUUUUUGGUUGUCCUUGUAAAAAAAAAAAAAAAAAUGUUUGCAUAAUAAAGUUGAUUCUG
Gavia stellata (red-throated loon) is the source of this 705-nucleotide long non-coding RNA. RefSeq lists it as uncharacterized. NCBI's taxonomy places the organism in Eukaryota, Metazoa, Chordata, Aves, Gaviiformes, Gaviidae. The transcript has 4 exons. The record is from RefSeq and is a predicted model, not a curated record.